This 427-nucleotide ribosomal RNA is filed under the name uncultured bacterium. Its description in RNAcentral is "partial 16S ribosomal RNA". It matches the Rfam family "Bacterial small subunit ribosomal RNA", at positions 355 to 774 of the family's 1533-position model. The record is from RNAcentral.
UGGGGAAUAUUGCACAAUGGGCGCAAGCCUGAUGCAGCCAUGCCGCGUGUAUGAAGAAGGCCUUCGGGUUGUAAAGUACUUUCAGCGGGGAGGAAGGUGUUGAGGCUAAUAACCUCAGCAAUUGACGUUACCCGCAGAAGAAGCACCGGCUAACUCCGUGCCAGCAGCCGCGGUAAUACGGAGGGUGCAAGCGUUAAUCGGAAUUACUGGGCGUAAAGCGCACGCAGGCGGUUUGUCAAGUCGGAUGUGAAAUCCCCGGGCUCAACCUGGGAACUGCAUUCGAAACUGGCAGGCUAGAGUCUUGUAGAGGGGGGUAGAAUUCCAGGUGUAGCGGUGAAAUGCGUAGAGAUCUGGAGGAAUACCGGUGGCGAAGGCGGCCCCCUGGACAAAGACUGACGCUCAGGUGCGAAAGCGUGGGGAGCAAACA